GUAACGCACGCCUCUGAUUGGCUAAAGUCGAACAGAAUACUUUUCAACAUUGAAUUUAAGAUUUCAACAAGUUUGCUCUUGAUCAGAUCAAAUGGCUCUUCCGUUGAGUGCGGAACGACAGACGUUGAUUAUCAACGACGAGCCGAAAUGACCCCAUGAUUCGAAUGUGCAGGCUUGGCUUUUCCCACGUUAACUACGCAUGAACACGCACGAUCGCCCCUCGCGAUUUUGACGUUGAAGAGAACCCCUUUCUGAAGUGUGACGUCAGUCCGUGAAUUUGACCACGUUGUGGGAAUAUGUCAACAUUAACUAUUUGAAACAAAUUGGUUGGCGAUAUUCUGAUUUUUGAGAAAGCAAGUCACUAGAAAAGAAAAAGCCCUGACUGGCAUCGAAAAGGCCUAUUGUCAGUGUGUCUUAAGUGGAGGUCGCCCACAACACGCUUUGAAUUGCAUUGCGUUCCAACAAGCGUUCCAACGGAACAAGCGGUCUUUUCUAGCAAAAGCACUAACAAGUGAUACGAAUAGGUGAACUUUUUUUUAUACUAGUCAUGAAACGAAUGUGUUAACUAAUACAUGACAAAAGAGUACCACAUGUAAAGUACUAGCCACUCACCCCGGUGGUGUGUAUUUAUGGAGGCCAAGGGAAGCCAGGAUUACCCAAGAAAAAUUUUAACAUUUUCGUAUUUCUGUGUUUCAUAAUUUUCCUUCAAUUCGAAAGAGGCUGAAUGGAUAUCACAGGAGAAAGCAUCCGAGCGAGCGAAACAGCGCCCCUCUGUCUCUCUACGUGCAGGCCAUCUAUCUGAUGCUGUCUGGUCCAAACAAGGUGGAGGCCAAGAAGAGGAGGAUGUGGAGGUACCGUCUGCCUGGCUUUGAGUUGAGGCUCCUGGAGGAACUACAGAGACAGAAGCACAACAGUCUCUACUGUGAUACCCUGUUACAGACUGAUGGAUUGUCAGUCCCGGCCCACAGCUGCAUCCUGGCUGCCCUGAGCCCCUACCUGUCCAAUGCCCUGUCCAACCAGUCAUCCCCCCUCCCGGCUGGGCAGAGAUGGCCACUCAAGCUCCAGGCUGUGAAGGCCCAGACCCUGCUGAAGCUGGUGGAUCUCCUGUACUCCGGAGAGCUGGAGGGAGAGGGCACCAUGGAACAAGAAGAGGUUAUGGCCGCUGCCUGUAAGCUGGGCAUAGGCCGCUUGGUGGAGGGGUGGAAGGACCGGGGGAGGGAGGGAGAGGGGGAGGAGGAGAGGAGGUGCAGUCUCAGAGAUGUGGGGGUGCAGACGGAGGGAGGAGAGACACAGGUGGGGGCAUUGGUGGAGAUGGGGACACAGACUGUGGACUGUAAUGGAGGUAUUUACAUGACUUUCCUCAGUCCUCUCCCUGAUGCUCUCCCUACACCCCUCCUACUAGUCCAGAGCAGCAGUGAAGGCCAGCAGCACACAACUCACACGGCACUCCCUUUCCUGAGUCCCCAGAUUAUGACCCCCACUUCACACCCCAGUUCCACUCCACCCAGCGUCAAAGCACCGGUCAACUGUGGAACAGCUCCCUUUAGAACCCACCCUCAGACCUCCGAACCGGAGGUCACAAACCUCUCAUCGUCCUCUGUUGUCCUGAGCGGUGACAUGGUCACCCAGGGUGACGAUUCGGACCACCCCACAACACCCCGGGAGGAAAGUGCCGUCCCAGAAUGCUCUGUGGCGGAGAACGUUGUGACGGAGAGGAGGAUGGAGAAGAAGAGGGAGCAGCAGCUGACAUCACACACUGGGAGAGCAGAGGAAGGAGGAACAGGGGAGUGUCUGGAGAGGAGAGGUGUGGUUGGGAGGAAGUGGCUGAGCGGACAGAGGCUGGAGAACACUCAGAUCUCCAUCAAGGUCAAGCUGAGGAGGAGGACCAGGGGACAGCUGUGGGAGCUGGUCAGUGGGCAGGAGACGGACGGAACCAUCUCACCUGGUCAGGGGCAGGAGACAGACGGAACCGUCUCACCUGGUCAGGGGCAGGAGACAGACGGAACCGUCUCACCUGGUCAGGGGCAGGAGACAGACGGAACCGUCUCACCUGGUCAGGGGCAGGAGACAGACGGAACCGUCUCACCUGGUCAGGGGCAGGAGACAGACGGAACCAUCUCACCAGGUCAGAGGCAGGAGAGGGACGGAACCAUCUCACCUGGUCGGAGGCAGUUGGUCCUCGCUGCUCUGAAGAAGGAAACGCAUGAUCGCAUGAGGACAAGACAACUACCACGCCAGCCUCUCCCCCCGCCCCAGUCCCCAGCCCUCCCCUGGUGCUCUAACCUCGACACAGCUUUCCUCACCCCUCCACCCCGAUCCCGCCCCCAACUCACCUCCAAAACCACCACCACCCAGUCAACCUCCCUCAAACACUGCAGCUCCACCCAACAACCGACUCCACACCCAACACAUGAACCACAGCUCGCCUUGCCCCAGCCUCCGGUAGAGGAUUCGGAUGAGCAGAUUGAGAAGAUGCUGGAAGACAUCAUGAUGGGGUUGAACAUACUGCCCCCUGUGGUUCUGGAUAGGGACUGCGACCAACGCCACCAUCUCCAAAGCCACGACAGACCGUCGGCCUGCUCCUGCUCGCAUCAUCCCGUCCACGCAAGGCACGGCGCAGUUGGCUCGGCUUCUCGUUGCGUGUGUUCCCAUGUUCCAAUGACAGGAAGUGAUGAUGCGUCGUCAACUGAAACAGCCUUCCACUCCAUCACCUCCUCCCAUUUCGUCACCACGACAACCUCCUGCACAGUCACCCCUGACCUUUACCUGGACCCACAACCUCUGACCCCUCACCAAUGUUCCACCUAUCACCCCUCCACCCCCCUCUCUCAUCCUCACCCCCACUUCUCCUGUAAUGAUUACUCCUCUGACUGGGCCUCCUAUUGUUCAGGUGUCCAGUGCUCCUCUGAGAACGCCAAGAACCACCAGGAACUCCUGAUCCGGUUCCAGAACUCUCAAAACCAGGAACUCCAGAACUCCAAGAGCCUGGUGUUUGGAUGUGGUGGCAGCAGCAGCAUCAUGCCAGUCCACUCAGGCUCUUCACCAAGGCCUCCCCACCAGUCCCUUCCUCAGAGCCAGGCCUCUCUACUUUACGCAGGGGAAGAGGACCGAGAUCCAGGGUUCUGGGAGGGUUCUGCCCAGACGGGCGUUCCGUCGACAUACAGAGACCAUGUUUGUAAUCUGUCCUCUGCGGAUUGUCUGUCGUCCAAUGGAGACACUACUCCAAGUCAUGUGAAUGGAGACACUACUCCAAGUCAAGUGAAUGGAGGGACCAUCCCAAGUCAUAUGAAUAGAGAGGCCAUUCCAAGUCAGAGUCCGAGUCAGGCCAGUACGAAUCAGGAAGUUCCACAAGAAGAGGGACCUUCGGUCACCCCCGGUUUCCUACCCCCCUCUGAAACUGAUGCUUCUGAACCACAACAUCCAGCAUGCCCACCAGAUGCCUCUCCCUGGAGAGGACUACAUUUCCCAGAACUCCUUUCACUGCUGUCUCCAGGAAGUGAAACCCAGCCUUCCCAAUCUCCUCCUCCACAAUGGGAAGAGCUACGCCUGCCAAAAUGUCUCUCACCCUUAAAUUCACCAGAAUCCUUACCCCCACCAUCUCCGGCGAAACCCUUCCUUAAAUCCCCAUUCCGGCAUCCUGUAACUCCAUUCCAUAGAAUCCCUCAGCUGUCAAAGCUACCACCUUGGCUCUGCUGCACUCCGAGAAGACUACAGUUUCCACUGAGCUCCAUGAUCCACUCUCCACGCUCCCCAGGAAAUCUGUGUGAAUCUAAAAAAUUCCUUGGGCUGCCGUGGGAAUCCAACAACAACUCCGAGCAGAUGACUGAUGGUCAAUACAAGGCUAGCAUUAGCAACAACUCCGAGCAGAUGACUAAUGGUCAAUACAAGGCUAGCAUUAGCAACAACUCCGAGCAGAUGACUGAUGGUCAAUACAAGGCUAGCAUUAGCAACAACUCCGAGCAGAUGACUGAUGGUCAAUACAAGGCUAGCAUUAGCAACAACUCCGAGCAGAUGACUGAUGGUCAAUACAAGGCUAGCAUUAGCAACAACUCCGAGCAGAUGACUGAUGGUCAAUACAAGGCUAGCAUUAGCAACAACUCCGAGCAGAUGACUGAUGGUCAAUACAAGGCUAGCAUUAGCAACAACUCCGAGCAGAUGACUGAUGGUCAAUACAAGGCUAGCAUUAGCAACAACUCCGAGCAGAUGACUGAUGGUCAAUACAAGGCUAGCAUUAGCAACAACGCAAGACUGACCGGAAAAGAGGACGAGGAGGAGAGGAAAAGGAAGAAGGUCGCGACCACCACUACGGGGCGAAGGCUUGAGAAAGCAAAGGCGAAGAUAAGAGAGGGAGAUGAAACCUGGAAGCCCCACAGUAACAGGAAGAGAAUCCGUGUGAGGAGAAAGGAGGGUUUGGAGCCGGAGCAGGGGCGAAGGACUGAGACCCCAAAAGCAAAGACAGAGAGGAGACAGGAGGAUGAAACCUGGAGUCAACACAGGAAGAGAAUCCGUGUCAGGAGAACAGAGGGUUUGAAAGCGGAGCAGGAACAAUCAGAGGACAGUGAGACCCCAGAGCCUCCUCGGAAAAAGAGGAAACGUAACGCCUCUACAAAGAUAGAAGAUAGUCCUUUAGUGAGGACUGAAAGGGUGAAACUCAACGACAGAACGAAGACUGAGAACGGACAAGUGAAAAUAAGCCUCUGCUCUGUCAGUCUGUCAACCAACAAUGUCUUAGCGAGCGAAAGAUUAGGACGGUACCUUUCCAACACCUCCACAAAGUCUUUGUCCAGCCUUGGGGAGGAAGCCAACCCACCUCCAGAAGGAAGGGAAACGGGGAACCCAGUAAGGGUGCUCCGAGCCAGGGAUCGAGAUGUGAAAUGCCCUCCUAACGUUUGGACCGCAACCGGGAGCUGCUCCCCAGUAAAACUUCACCAAGAAGACAAGCAGUCCAACAUGUCUUCUGAAACUCCCAGUCCCUCCUUCUCCGGGUUUCAAGCUCUGGCCAAAGCAGUUGGACUGCUCCAAAUCCCACCAACACCACCCCCGAAACGGAAACGUGGUAGACCCCCCGGUAAGAUACGACCAGGAAAAAAACAGGUUUCCCAGGCUGGUGGUUUAUUCCCCACCAGUGCCAUGACAACGGGCAUCCAUGACGCAGAAGCUGUUGAGCACAAAAAGGAAAGAGGAGAAGGAGAACCUCAGGGAAAGGAAAGAGGAGAACCGCGGGGAAAGAAAAGAGGAGAACCGCGGGGAAAGAAAGGAGGAGGAGGAGAACCGCAGAGAAAGGGAGGAGGAGGAGAACCGCAGAGAAAGAAAAGAGGAGAACCACGGGGAAAGAAAGGAGGAGGAGAACCGCAGAGAAAGAAAAGAGGAGAAUCGCAUAGAACGAAAAGAGAAGGAGAACCUCAGAGAGGGAAAAAAGGAGAAGGAGUACCGCAGAGAAAGAAAAGAGAAGAACCGCAGAGAAAGAAAAAUGGAAGAGAACCACAGGGAAAGGAGAAAGGAGGAGGAGAACCUCAGGGAAAGGAGAAAGGAGGAGACCCACAGGUAAAGGAAAAAGGAGGAGACCCACAGGUAAAGGAAAAAGGAGGAGACCCACAGGUAAAGGAGAACGGAGGAGGGGAACCACAGGUAAAGGAGAACGGAGGAGGGGAACCACAGGGAAAGGAGAAAGGAGGAGACCCACAGGUAAAGGAGAACGGAGGAGGGGAACCACAGGGAAAGGAGAACAGAGGAGGGGAACCACAGGGAAAGGAGAAAGGAGGAGGAGAACCUCAGGGAAAGGAGAAAGGAGGAGACCCACAGGUAAAGGAGAACGGAGGAGGGGAACCACAGGGAAAGGAGAACAGAGGAGGGGAACCACAGGGAAAGGACGACAAGCGAAAGAAGUGCAGGAAAAGGGUGAGGCUCAGGGAGGGACAUGGCAAAGGAGAGAGAGCAGAGUUGUUCCAGAGACUACCUGAGCUGUCUAAAUCUAAAACAGUUGCUCAAAAGCCUAGCUCGCAGACAACUUUCCCCAGUACCCAUGAAGAGCAUGUUCCUACCAACUGUUCAGGGAUUGGAACCGGAACCAUUCUGCAACCCCAGCCGUCGGGUCAGCCACAGAACUCCAGUCCAAAAAGAUCUGGAGAGACUGAAUCAGACAGAGACCCAUUGAGACCCCCUGCUGUCAAGCGGACCCCCUCCAAGGGUCGGGCACCCACUGUGUGUCUCAAGAAGUUCCAAGAACUCCUGAAGCACAGGCACCAAAAGACGAGGAAGUCCACCAAAAGCAAGGAGACAAAAGAAAGUGAAAGAAAAUUAUUGAAACCCAAUGAAAGUGACAACGGUCAAAAUGAAUCAAGACUGAUGAACAAAAACACAAGUUCCUCCCAGUCUCUAGAAAGGGAGUCGGCCAUUAGACCAACCGUUGAUAAUGACCAUCAGACCAGCCGAACAGAGAGCGACCAGCCAGAGGAAAAAGAUGGAGGACACGACAGCAGCACUUGUGGACAGGAGACGGAGUAUCAAGAACAGAUCUACGAAGAGACUGAAAGAGAGAACGUUGAGGAUGGAGAACAUUUUGAGUACACAGAAAAAGUUUUAGACGGGGAAAACGUGGAUGCGUCAGGAGACUUUUUCAAACUCCGAGAGGAGCUGGCUACCUUAUCGAUGACAAGGACAAAGGACAUUGUGGAUCCUCAUCUGAGCGACAAAGGCAACAAGGAAGGAAGAGAUCUGGUUUCCAAGGAGAACAGAGCGAGGGAAACAGACUCGUCUUCAGAGACAAAACAGAAGACCGAAAAGGGGAAAGGAUCCGUGGUGGAGGCGUAUAGGAGAAGUGUGAUCAUCCAAGAGGUGGAGGAGAAAAUGGAGGAUGGAUAUUUGGAGAUGGAGAUCUCCAGCGAGGAGUUGGAUGUGGUUGAUGAGGUCCAGCAGACGUUGGGCUACGCCGGGGCUGAGGAAGUGAGUGGGGAAGAGGAGGAGAUAGAUGUAGAGGAGAUGGGUCCAACGAUGUAUCCUGAUGCAGCUUGGCAGGAGGUUCCCGGCGCCAGAGACGUGGACCAAGUGAGUUCCACCAUGGCCAGCUUCAGAGGCAUCACCCACAACCACAUCCACCUCCCUCAGAAAAUCAAAAUGGCGACCGCUGCCCCCGAGAUGGCCGACGUGAGUAUUCCGACCCCUCUGGAGGCAGAGCCUUCCACGCUGACAUCACGAAGGGUCACCACGGGGUCAACAGGAAGCUGGGAGCCAGAGGAGGAAGAGGAUGUGGAGGUGGACGUUCUUGAGUGGUCGCCGGAUGUGCGACCAAGAGUGUGGGGAGCGGGCCUUGAGCAAGGCGUCACAGAACUGACCGAGGAAGACGAGAUAGACGUGAUGGGAGAGGAAACGGACUGA
Molecule: long non-coding RNA, 7374 nt
Organism: Oncorhynchus kisutch (coho salmon)
Lineage: Eukaryota; Metazoa; Chordata; Actinopteri; Salmoniformes; Salmonidae
Source: Ensembl